This 440-nucleotide ribosomal RNA is filed under the name uncultured bacterium. Its description in RNAcentral is "partial 16S ribosomal RNA". It matches the Rfam family "Bacterial small subunit ribosomal RNA", at positions 338 to 795 of the family's 1533-position model. The record is from RNAcentral.
CCUACGGGAGGCAGCAGUGGGGAAUAUUGCACAAUGGGGGGAACCCUGAUGCAGCGACGCCGCGUGAGUGAAGAAGUAUUUCGGUAUGUAAAGCUCUAUCAGCAGGGAAGAAAAUGACGGUACCUGACUAAGAAGCCCCGGCUACCUACGUGCCAGCAGCCGCGGUAAUACGUAGGGGGCAAGCGUGAUCCGGAUUUACUGGGUGUAAAGGGGGCGCAGACGGCUGUGCAAGUCUGGGGUGAAAGGCGGGGGCCCAACCCCCGGACUGCUCUGGAAACUGUAAGGCUGGAGUGCAGGAGAGGUAAGUGGAAUUCCUAGUGUAGCGGUGAAAUGCGUAGAUAUUAGGAGGAACACCAGUGGCGAAGGCGGCUUACUGGACUGCAACUGACGUUGAGGCUCGAAAGCGUGGGGAGCAAACAGGAUUAGAUACCCGAGUAGUC